Molecule: transfer RNA, 67 nt
Filed under: Marmota monax (woodchuck)
Lineage: Eukaryota; Metazoa; Chordata; Mammalia; Rodentia; Sciuridae
Description: tRNA.Ala
Rfam family: tRNA
About the family: Transfer RNA (tRNA) molecules are approximately 80 nucleotides in length.
Source: RNAcentral
GGUUGUGGCUCAGUGGUAGAGUGCUUGCCUAGCAUGCGUGAGGCCCUGGGUUCGAUCCCUGGCACCA